Molecule: long non-coding RNA, 478 nt
Organism: Sinocyclocheilus grahami
Lineage: Eukaryota; Metazoa; Chordata; Actinopteri; Cypriniformes; Cyprinidae
Exons: 3
Source: RefSeq, a predicted model, not a curated record
AGACUGAUCUGUCACAUAUUUUAACUAGAAAAUAUUGCUUCUUCUUUCUGCAGUACAAUCCUCACAGAUCCCAGACUGCAGUGAAGGUGGAGUUUGUCGUUCCUCCCAGUCGAAUGCUGAUCGUCGGCACUGGUGUAGUGGGUGGGUUCAUCUUCCUCGUUAUCAUAGUGUUCCUUCUGCUGAAGAGUGGGUUUUUUACACUAAAGUACCCUGAAGUGAAUGAAAAUAGGAUGGUGGUUCUCAUCAACUUCAGCACUAAAGAAAACUGAAGUCUGAGUCAGUGUUUUGAACCAGGCCUCAGAGCUGAAGAUUAUCUUUUUAUGUUAAUGAUGUUUUAAUGGUCCAGAUUUAUGACAAAGUUUUCUUCAGUUUCAGUGUGUUCAGUAUGUUUAGUUCAAUGAUGUUCAGCGUGUGUUGUAAUGGCUUUUCCACUUCUUUCCAGUGACUUUGUAGUUUAUUUAUAAUAUCUUACGUUACA